Molecule: ribosomal RNA, 497 nt
Filed under: uncultured bacterium
Lineage: Bacteria
Description: partial 16S ribosomal RNA
Rfam family: Bacterial small subunit ribosomal RNA
Source: RNAcentral
GAUGGACGCUGGCGGCGUGCCUAAUACAUGCAAGUCGAGCGAACAGACGAGGAGCUUGCUCCUCUGACGUUAGCGGCGGACGGGUGAGUAACACGUGGAUAACCUACCUAUAAGACUGGGAUAACUUCGGGAAACCGGAGCUAAUACCGGAUAAUAUAUUGAACCGCAUGGUUCAAUAGUGAAAGACGGUUUUGCUGUCACUUAUAGAUGGAUCCGCGCCGCAUUAGCUAGUUGGUAAGGUAACGGCUUACCAAGGCAACGAUGCGUAGCCGACCUGAGAGGGUGAUCGGCCACACUGGAACUGAGACACGGUCCAGACUCCUACGGGAGGCAGCAGUAGGGAAUCUUCCGCAAUGGGCGAGAGCCUGACGGAGCAACGCCGCGUGAGUGAUGAAGGUCUUCGGAUCGUAAAACUCUGUUAUUAGGGAAGAACAAAUGUGUAAGUAACUAUGCACGUCUUGACGGUACCUAAUCAGAAAGCCACGGCUAACUACGUG